RNAcentral lists this long non-coding RNA (720 nucleotides) under Chrysolophus pictus (golden pheasant). RNAcentral describes it as "lncRNA (ENSCPIG00010007833.1)". Lineage: Eukaryota; Metazoa; Chordata; Aves; Galliformes; Phasianidae. The record is from RNAcentral.
CUUGCACAGAUCUGAAUCUAGUCUUCUCAGAGUAAUGGUUUGGGACAGAUCAGUGCUUGGUAUGAGAGGGAAGAACUGUGCCUAGAGCCUGUCCUUUGCCAUCACUGCAGGUAGCUAACCAACUGGCAGGUCCUCCAGGGAAAAGAGGUAAGCGGGGCAGAAGAGGAGAGACUGGACCUCCUGUAAGUACAGUGAUACAUUGUUGGUUCUUCCAGAAUCAGGGAGAAAUCGAUGUUAGAUCCUGUUUUGUUACCACCACAAUAAACUGAUCGUGUAUCAACAGGAGGGAAUCUUGAUGUUUAUACUUACACAGCAUAACACUCGCUAAUUAUUUUGGAGCUGAAUAAUUUAGCCAGAAAGUUCCUUAAGAAAAUUAUAUCUAAAACUAUAAAGCUUUACAUUCAGCACUCCAGAUAGCAGUUUGGAUCGCAAUUCCGUGUAAGUACAUUAUAUUCAUUUUGCUUAUGACUUGGUAACAAAAACUUUACUACAGUAUAAAAAUAAGUGAGUAUGCUAUCUUAAGUCUAGACUCUGCCUUUUACUGGGUAGUAGCUUGCUCUGCCAUUGUCGCAAAUCCUUGGGGUCAAAACUCCUUGUUCUUUGGAAGUAUAUGGGCUGUCCAGAUCAUUGCGGCGUAAUUGCUACUAAAGCCAGUAAGUACUUGUGUGAAAUGAAUAGAAAAUAAGACUGUUCAGUUUAGUAUUUGGUUGAAUCUCAUGC